GAGUUUGAUCCUGGCUCAGAGUGAACGCUGGCGGUAGGCCUAACACAUGCAAGUCGAACGGCAGCACAGGAGAGCUUGCUCUCUGGGUGGCGAGUGGCGGACGGGUGAGGAAUACAUCGGAAUCUACUCUGUCGUGGGGGAUAACGUAGGGAAACUUACGCUAAUACCGCAUACGACCUACGGGUGAAAGUGGGGGACCGCAAGGCCUCACGCGAUUGAAUGAGCCGAUGUCGGAUUAGCUAGUUGGCGGGGUAAAGGCCCACCAAGGCGACGAUCCGUAGCUGGUCUGAGAGGAUGAUCAGCCACACUGGAACUGAGACACGGUCCAGACUCCUACGGGAGGCAGCAGUGGGGAAUAUUGGACAAUGGGGGCAACCCUGAUCCAGCCAUGCCGCGUGUGUGAAGAAGGCCUCGGUUGUAAG
Molecule: ribosomal RNA, 422 nt
Filed under: uncultured Gammaproteobacteria bacterium
Lineage: Bacteria; Pseudomonadati; Pseudomonadota; Gammaproteobacteria
Description: bacterial SSU rRNA
Rfam family: Bacterial small subunit ribosomal RNA
Source: RNAcentral